UACAUAGGGUGCAAGCGUUGUCCGGAUUUAUUGGGCGUAAAGAGUUCGUAGGCGGCACAGUAAGUCAGAAGUUAAACCGCAGGGCUCAACCCUGCGUCGCUUUUGAUACUGCUGAGCUUGAGUAUGGCAGGGGAAGACGGAAUUCCACGUGUAGCGGUGAAAUGCGCAGAUAUGUGGAGGAACACCAACGGCGAAGGCGAGUCUCUGGACAGCAACUGACGCUGAGGCACGAAGGCCAGGGGAGCAAACGGG
Molecule: ribosomal RNA, 252 nt
Filed under: uncultured bacterium
Lineage: Bacteria
Description: partial 16S ribosomal RNA
Rfam family: Bacterial small subunit ribosomal RNA
Source: RNAcentral